UAGGGAAUAUUGGACAAUGGGCGAAAGCCUGAUCCAGCAAUGCCGCGUGAGUGAUGAAGGCCUUAGGGUUGUAAAGCUCUUUUACCCGGGAUGAUAAUGACAGUACCGGGAGAAUAAGCCCCGGCUAACUCCGUGCCAGCAGCCGCGGUAAUACGGAGGGGGCUAGCGUUGUUCGGAAUUACUGGGCGUAAAGCGCACGUAGGCGGCGAUUUAAGUCAGAGGUGAAAGCCCGGGGCUCAACCCCGGAACUGCCUUUGAUACUGCAUGGCUUGAAUCCAGGAGAGGUGAGUGGAAUUCCGAGUGUAGAGGUGAAAUUCGUAGAUAUUCGCAAGAACACCAGUGGCGAAGGCGGCUCACUGGCCCGGUACUGACGCUGAGGUGCGAAAGCGUGGGGAGCAAA
RNAcentral lists this ribosomal RNA (400 nucleotides) under uncultured bacterium. Its description in RNAcentral is "bacterial SSU rRNA". It matches the Rfam family "Bacterial small subunit ribosomal RNA", at positions 355 to 772 of the family's 1533-position model. The record is from RNAcentral.